GUAGAUAUCUGCUUGGGGCAAACAAAGGGAAAUCAAUUAUUGGUUGGGAUAUGUUAUAAACCACCUAAUGUAAAUAUUAUUGAGGAAGAACAGCUGUUAGAGCAAAUUGGGAAAGCUGCAAAUCUGGGUAACACGUUAAUUAUUGGAGAUUUUAAUUAUCCAGACAUAAAUUGGGAUAGAGGGACUAGUACUUCAGCAAGGGGAAUCAGGUUUUUGAAUGUGUUAAAUGACACCUUUAUGUCACAACUGGUACAAGC
Non-coding RNA from Pelobates cultripes (western spadefoot toad), 257 nucleotides. The record is from the annotation of a GenBank genome assembly. Lineage: Eukaryota; Metazoa; Chordata; Amphibia; Anura; Pelobatidae.